RNAcentral lists this ribosomal RNA (948 nucleotides) under Paraloratospora camporesii. RNAcentral describes it as "SSU rRNA". It matches the Rfam family "Eukaryotic small subunit ribosomal RNA", at positions 91 to 1049 of the family's 1831-position model. Lineage: Eukaryota; Fungi; Ascomycota; Dothideomycetes; Pleosporales; Phaeosphaeriaceae. The record is from RNAcentral.
GAAUGGCUCAUUAAAUCAGUUAUCGUUUAUUUGAUAGUACCUUACUACUUGGAUAACCGUGGUAAUUCUAGAGCUAAUACAUGCUGAAAACCCCAACUUCGGGAGGGGUGUAUUUAUUAGAUAAAAAACCAACGCCCUUCGGGGCUUCUUGGUGAUUCAUGAUAACUUAACGGAUCGCAUGGCCUUGCGCCGGCGACGGUUCAUUCAAAUUUCUGCCCUAUCAACUUUCGAUGGUAAGGUAUUGGCUUACCAUGGUUUCAACGGGUAACGGGGAAUUAGGGUUCGAUUCCGGAGAGGGAGCCUGAGAAACGGCUACCACAUCCAAGGAAGGCAGCAGGCGCGCAAAUUAUCCAAUCCCGACACGGGGAGAUAGUGACAAUAAAUACUGAUACAGGGCUCUUUUGGGUCUUGUAAUUGGAAUGAGUACAAUUUAAACCUCUUAACGAGGAACAAUUGGAGGGCAAGUCUGGUGCCAGCAGCCGCGGUAAUUCCAGCUCCAAUAGCGUAUAUUAAAGUUGUUGCAGUUAAAAAGCUCGUAGUUGAACCUUGGGUCUGGCUGGCAGGUCCGCCUCACCGCGUGUACUUGUCCGGCCGGGCCUUCCUUCUGGAGAACCUCAUGCCCUUCACUGGGCGUGUUGGGGACCAGGACUUUUACUUUGAAAAAAUUAGAGUGUUCAAAGCAGGCCUUUGCUCGAAUACGUUAGCAUGGAAUAAUAGAAUAGGACGUGCGGUCCUAUUUUGUUGGUUUCUAGGACCGCCGUAAUGAUUAAUAGGGACAGUCGGGGGCAUCAGUAUUCAAUUGUCAGAGGUGAAAUUCUUGGAUUUAUUGAAGACUAACUACUGCGAAAGCAUUUGCCAAGGAUGUUUUCAUUAAUCAGUGAACGAAAGUUAGGGGAUCGAAGACGAUCAGAUACCGUCGUAGUCUUAACCGUAAACUAUGCCGACUAG